Molecule: long non-coding RNA, 320 nt
Filed under: Nicotiana benthamiana
Lineage: Eukaryota; Viridiplantae; Streptophyta; Magnoliopsida; Solanales; Solanaceae
Description: long non-coding RNA (NBEN_LNC007488)
Source: RNAcentral
CUUGUGUCAAUGAUUCUCAGACUAGAAAAAUGAAUAGGACAGAAGUUGAGUACGGGACAGUUUUUGAUUCUCAGCUAAAGAAAAAUGGGACUGGAAAUGAGUUUGUUUCCUGCAAUGGAUAUAGUGCAUAUCAUAGAAACCCUGAUGUCCGAGGAUCUCCAUACAGUGAUGAGAUGCCACGAGGAGAUAAUGGAUAUUUGCAGUAGAAACCCUGAUGUCCGAGGAUCUCCAUUCAGUGAUGAGAUGUCACGAGGAGAUAAUGGAUAUUUGCAUUCAGAUGUUGGACUGUUUGUAGGCCUUUCCGAAUGUGAUCCAGAUGU